This is a long non-coding RNA of Piliocolobus tephrosceles (Ugandan red Colobus), 2932 nucleotides long. The record is from Ensembl. NCBI's taxonomy places the organism in Eukaryota, Metazoa, Chordata, Mammalia, Primates, Cercopithecidae.
GAUGGACAAAAUAAUCAGAGUUUGUUCGGAAAAAACAAUUUCAAUCAAAAUUUAAACAAUAACAAUAUAACAAAUGAAAACAAAAUAGAUAACGACUCUUCUACAGAAUCAUCUGUAGAUGGUAAUAAAACAUAUAUGAAUGACAUUCGCCAAAAUUAUUUUUUUUGUGAAUUAUUUUUAGAGCAAUCUAACACAUGUAGAAUAAAAAAUAAUAAACAUAUUACUACCGUUUUUAAAAAUUUGAACACUAUUGGGCAAAAUAGGCACUUGUUACAAAUGUAUAAUUUGUUAGUUAGGAAUGGCAAUGGUGGUAAUCAGGCGGUAGAAGCACAUGGUGAACGUUAUGAAACUGGUAUUGACACUGGAAGUGAUACUGGUAGUGACACUGGAAGUAACAGUGGAAGUAACACUGGAAGUGACACUGGAAGGGACACUGGAAGGGACACUGGAAGGCACAAUCGAAGUAAAGUUAGUGACAAAAGAUGUGGUCAUAUUUCAAAGCAAGAAGAAUAUAGAAACGAACAACAUAGUAUAAUAUAUAACAUGGACAUAUUUUUGUCAUUCUUUCUAAGAGUUUUAGUAAUACACUUAAAUAGUUUCAAAUUAAAUGACAGUAAUUCCUAUUUUUUUAAAAACUUUGACUCUUUAUAUAUACCUAAUGAAAUUAUAAAAAUGAGUUAUCCAAUUAAUUAUUUUAAUAUUAAUUUAUUUGUAAUAUUAUUGGAACUUUUUUAUUUAUUUAUACGGAUAUAUAACAAUUAUUUUAUUAGUCGAAGCAGGAGAAGGCAUAGACGUCUAAAUGGAAGUCCAAGUUUAAGUCUAAGUCUAGGCCCCAGUGGAAGUGGAAGUGGAAGUGGAAGUGCAAGUGCAAAUCUAAGCCCAAGUCUAAGUCUAGGCCCCAGUGGAAGUGGAUGUGCAAGUGCAAAUCUAAGCCCAAGUCUAAGCCCAAGUCUAAGCCCAAGUCUAAGUCUAGGCCCCAGUGGAAGUGGAAGUGCAAAUCUUAGAGGGCAAACCGCUUUUUCGCAUAAAAAUGCUGAUACACUCAAUAAACGCGGGGACAUACAUUUAAAACGAAACGAACACAGGUGUGACAAUAUAUACGUAAAAACACUAAAAGAAAUACUGAAAGAGUGUUACACAUACCAUUCUGUACAUAUGGAAAAUGAAAAAAAAAUAAAAAAAAUGUUUUUUUUAAAACAUAUAUUGUUAUACUUUUUGUAUAACCGUAUAAAUUUGAUAUACGAAUUAAUUUAUAAUUUUUUUGUGAAUCGUAAUCAAUGGCAUAAAGAGAGGCUACUGUUGAAUGAAGACAAGAAUCAAAUGGAAAAUAAAACAAACAGACUAACACACAAACAUAUAUCUAACAUGGUAAACAAACAUGUAUAUAAAUACCUGCGAAAUAUAUUAUACGACCAGAUAGACAAAAUAAACUAUUUUUUAGAACACAACCAAUAUUAUUAUUAUUUUUAUAUAAGCACCUUAACAUUUAUUACUUUAAAUACACAUAUAUGUUUACACAUUAUAAAAAAUAAUAUUAUAACAAAAUUGAUAUACAUACCUAUAAUAUAUCAUUCUAUAUUCGACAAGCACAAAAAAUUUAGUUCUAUUUAUUUAAUUGAAAAUGAUAAGUACAUACGAAAUAAAAAUCACAUCACAUUUUGCUCAUUAAUAGUGUUAAUAAUUAAAAUGUUAUAUAUUUUUGUUAAUAAUUUUAAAAGAGAAAAAAAAACUAAUGUAAACACGUUUUAUCAUCAUUUAAAAAAAACGUUGAAUUUGCAUACAGACAGUGUAUUUUUAAAUGAAAGCUUAUUUGUAGAUGCACAUGCAUCGGAUGGUAGCAGUUGCUCAUAUGGCGAUAGUUUUCAUUUAGGUUUGACCAAUCGUGAUGACCAUACACCCCAACGUAAGUUGUAUAAAUCAAAUUUGAAAGAUUAUAAAAAAGGAAUGUCAAAAAAAGAAGAACACAAAAAUGACGAAUGGUUUUUAUCAAAGAUGUCAUCUCCAAGUAAAAACUAUGAGCAAGUUAAUAUCGAAUCGGAUCAGAUUGGAGGUGCAAGUGGUAGUAGCAGUAGUAGUGGCAGUAGUAGUAGUGAUAGCAGUAGUAGUAGUGAUAGCAGUAGUAGUAGUGAUAGCAAUAGUAGUGAUAGCAGUGGCAAUAGUGAAGGAUUAAAAAAAAAAAAAAGAAAUACCAAAACUUAUAAAGCUUACCAAGCAACCCUAACAAGUGCAAUGGCCAAUUACAAUGACACACGAACUCACCUCACAACAAACCAUGACAAAAACCAUGACAAAAACCACGACAAAAACCACGACAAAAUCUUAAACUAUAGUAGCGAAACUCAUUUUUUUUUAUCGGCCAUGAUGAAUAUUAUAAGUAUACUAUCAGAUCGUAUAAAAUUUAUUUUUUAUAAUAUAGCAAAAAUAAACUGCUUAGCUAUUUUAGAAGAAUCUUAUUUAUAUAUAGAAUUAUUAACAAAAUUUUCUUAUUUUUGUAGUAUAUACAACAUAAACAGUUUUAUAAUUUCUCUUAUGAAUAAACGUGUAGAACAUCAUUUGUGUUAUUUGAAUAAUGUUUUAGAAAAAUUUAUUUAUGAAAAAAGUGUCAUUAUUAAGCCUUACAGUCCGUAUGAGAUGGCUGCAUCUGUUAACUUGCCACACACUGCACAUCUGGAUAUGCAACAAAACGUACCAGCAAAUAUGCAACAAAACGCACCAGCAAAUAUGCAACAAAACGNNNNNNNNNNCACCAGCAAAUAUGCAACAAAACGCACCAGCAAAUAUGCAACAAAACUUAUUACCAACUUUCCCGCCAUCCACUUCAAAAAAAGAGAAACCCAAAAAAUAUAUAUAUACUGACCUAUCUCUAUUCACACAACGAGUCUUAUAUAUAACUUACAAAUCUAUACUGAAUUAUACUACUAUACUUUUAAAU